CCUACGGGCGGCAGCAGUGGGGAAUAUUGGACAAUGGGCGAAAGCCUGAUCCAGCCAUGCCGCGUGUGUGAAGAAGGCCUUCGGGUUGUAAAGCACUUUCAGUGGGGAAGAAAGCCUUGGGGCUAAUACCCUCGAGGAAGGACAUCACCCACAGAAGAAGCACCGGCUAACUCCGUGCCAGCAGCCGCGGUAAUACGGAGGGUGCGAGCGUUAAUCGGAAUUACUGGGCGUAAAGCGCGCGUAGGCGGUCUGAUAAGCCGGUUGUGAAAGCCCCGGGCUCAACCUGGGAACGGCAUCCGGAACUGUCAGGCUAGAGUGCAGGAGAGGAAGGUAGAAUUCCCGGUGUAGCGGUGAAAUGCGUAGAGAUCGGGAGGAAUACCAGUGGCGAAGGCGGCCUUCUGGACUGACACUGACGCUGAGGUGCGAAAGCGUGGGUAGCAAACAGGAUUAGAUACCCCGGUCGUC
Molecule: ribosomal RNA, 465 nt
Filed under: Vreelandella stevensii
Lineage: Bacteria; Pseudomonadati; Pseudomonadota; Gammaproteobacteria; Oceanospirillales; Halomonadaceae
Description: partial 16S ribosomal RNA
Rfam family: Bacterial small subunit ribosomal RNA
Source: RNAcentral